This 1954-nucleotide ribosomal RNA is filed under the name Sigmella ectobioides. Its description in RNAcentral is "SSU rRNA". It matches the Rfam family "Eukaryotic small subunit ribosomal RNA". The record is from RNAcentral. Lineage: Eukaryota; Metazoa; Arthropoda; Insecta; Blattodea; Blattellidae.
CAUCUACGUAUGUGAGCCUUAGUGUAAGCAGUGAAAAAGUGAAACCACAAACGGCUCAUUAUAUCAGCUAUGGUUCCUUAGAUCUCGCUGCGGGGGUGACUCCGCACUUGGAUAACUGUGGCAAUCCUACAGCUAAUACAUGCCACGGUGACAGAGUCCUGCCGGAGACGGCGGGGACAGCUCUUAUUAGAUCAAAACCGACGGGGCGCCUCUCAACGGGGAUCGCCUCUCGACUCAAUGCUUGGUGACUCUGAAUAGACCCUCCGGGCGGAUCGAAAGGGAAAAACCAUGCGAAAGCUGUAUGCUACCAUCGACACGUCUUUCAAGUGUCUGCCUUAUCAACUGUCGAUGGUAGGUUCCGUGCUUACCAUGGUUGUCACGGGUGACGGGGAAUCAGGGUUCGAUUCCGGAGAGGGAGCCUGAGAAACUGCUACUACAUCUAAGGAAGGCAGCAGGCGCGCAAAUUACCCACUCCCGGCACGGGGAGGUAGUGACGAAAAAUAACGAUGCGGGACUCAUCCGAGGCCCCGUAAUCGGAAUGGGUUCACUUUAAACCCUUCCACAAGUACCAAUUGAAGGGCAAGCCUGGUGCCAGCAGCUGCGGUAACUCCAGCUUCAAUAGCGUAUAUUAAAAUUGUUGCGGUUAAAAAGCUCGUAGUCUGAGGUGUGUCUCGCACCUCCGGUUCACGGCUCGACCGUGUCCAACUGGUUACAGUGCGGACGUCCUGCCGGCGGCUAGAUCCCUUCAUGCGGCGGCCGUCUCGCGGCUCUCGCGCGUUCGCUUCAGGGCGCUCUCGCUUGGGUCGCUGGAAGCCUCCGCGGGAACGGCCCCACUUAAACGUGCUGCCCGCUCGCGGUGCUCUUGACCGAGUGUCUCGGGGGGCCGGCAAGUUUACUUUGAACAAAUCAAAGUGCUCAACGCAGGCGUCUCACAUGCUCGGAUGGAUUUUGCAUGGAAUAAUGGAACAGGAUCUCGGUUCUGUUUUGUUGGUUUUCUCUUGGAAUGUCCGAGAUAAUGAUCAAUAGGGACUGACGGGGGCAUUCGUAUUGCGGCGUUAGAGGUGAAAUUCUUGGAUCGUCGCACGACGCACCAGAGCGAAAGCAUUUGCCAAGGAUGUUUUCACUGAUCAAGAACGAAAGUUAGAGGUUCGAAGGCGAUCAGAUACCGCCCUAGUUCUAACCAUAAACUAUGCCAGCCAGCAAUCCGUGGAGUUCCUCCGAUGACUCCUGCGGGCAGCCCCCGGGAAACCGAAGCUUUUGGGUUCCGGGGGAAGUAUGGUUGCAAAGCUGAAACUUAAAGGAAUUGACGGAAGGGUACCACCAGGAGUGGAACCUGCGGCUUAAUUUGACUCAACACGGGAAAACUCACCAGGCCCAGACACCGGGAGGAUUGACAGAUUGAGAGCUCUUUCUCGAUUCGGUGGGUGGUGGUGCAUGGCCGUUCUUAGUUGGUGGAGCGAUUUGUCUGGUUAAUUCCGAUAACGAACGAGACUCUAGCCUGCUAACUAGUCGGAAAUUAACCCGGCAUCCUCUGCCGCUGCCGGCGAACGACUCACUCUUCUUAGAGGGACGGGCGGUCUUGAGCCGCACGAGAUUGAGCAAUAACAGGUCUGAGAUGCCCUUAGAUGUUCUGGGCCGCACGCGCGUUACACUGAAGGAGUCAGCGAGUCGGUGCCCUUGUCCGAGAGGACCGGGUAACCCGCUCAAACUCCUGCGUGCUUGGGAUUGGGGCUUGAAAUUGUUCCCCAUGAACGAGGAAUUCCCAGUAAGCGCGAGUCAUAAGCUCGCGUUGACUACGUCCCUGCCCUUUGUACACACCGCCCGUCGCUACUACCGAUUGAAUGAGUUAGUGAGGACUUCGGACUCGCGCGGGUUUUCGCUUGGCGCAAGCCGGGCGCUCCCGUCGCGAGGAAGUUGGCCGAACUUGCUUACUUCGAAGAAGUCAAAGUCGAGC